AGGUUACCAUGAUGAGGACACCUUCUCAAAAGAUCAUUAAAUCUCUCCCAUGCAUCAUACGAUGUCUCAAGCUCAAAUUGAGCAAAAAAAGAUAUGUCAUUCCUCAACUU
Molecule: non-coding RNA, 110 nt
Organism: Gossypium hirsutum (cotton)
Lineage: Eukaryota; Viridiplantae; Streptophyta; Magnoliopsida; Malvales; Malvaceae
Source: Rfam